Molecule: non-coding RNA, 1397 nt
Organism: Ictidomys tridecemlineatus (thirteen-lined ground squirrel)
Lineage: Eukaryota; Metazoa; Chordata; Mammalia; Rodentia; Sciuridae
Source: RefSeq, a predicted model, not a curated record
UGGGAAAUUGCUGGUUUACUUAUUUUCAAAUGAACUCGUAUGGAAAUCUGAUGUCACACAUGACAGAUGACAUGGAGGUUUCCUUGGUGGGGUGGACUGCCUCUCUCAUCAUGUGACACAGGGCCAAGGGGGCAUGCCAAUGGCAGCACCAGCCUGUCAGCUGUGUGGGAGGGACGUGUCCUCAGCCCCUAUCUUCCUCCUGGAUCAAGAGGCUUGUAAUUUUCCACCAAGACACAUGAGAAAGGGUGACAUCCCUGUCUUUCUUUGGGGGUGCUGCACCUGCCUUGGGGCCUUUCACUGGACAAGAGAACUCAGGCCUAGGCCCACAGUGCCCAGACUCCCCUGAGUCUCAGUGCUUCCUGUAACUGCCUUGGUCUCAGGAUCAACUGUAAACAAGAAGGUUCUGGAACCAUCCUCACUGAGGGAAACCCUAGGUGAGGAGAAAGGUGGGCUUUCCUGCUGGCUCUGGCCUGGGAGCCUCCCUCCUGCUCGCUGUAGCUGGGGAGGGCUCGAGAUGUGGGGACAAAACUCACCUUGUGGGUGAGGAACCUUGGGCCCCUUUGAACAGACCAUUAGUCCUCAGGCAUGUGGGUUUGCCUGCCAUUUCCACUGGUGGAUCUGUGUGGUGUCUCCUUAGCAGCACGUGCUAUAAGCUCAGAUCUCCUUUAACAGCAAAAUUGGUAGACUCUACUCCUGGCCUCUCAAGGUGCUGGGAGAUUAUGCAUGUGCAUAGGAAAUAGAUGCUAUGUGAAGGUCACUAGGCCAUUAAUAAUCACCAAGGAAAAGUAGAGCAUGAAAGGUUCCAUCUUCCUUAAGUGUCAUCUCCAGAGGAGCCCUCCCCUGAGUGAUGGACAUGAGCCAGAUGCGCUGCUGAAUUUUCAUUAAUUACCAUGAAACAAAGUAACCAUCCCAGUCCUUCCCCACACUAAACUCAGUCCAGGGUCCCAACAGUGCUGUUCCCAUGCAGAGGAAACUCCCACCCUCUCAGAACUGUCUGAUGGGCAGAGGUCUGGGCCUGGCCUGGGUCCCUUCCUUGGAGUCAUUAACACAGUGUGUCCAUUGCAGCUGCAGCUCACAGGACUGGCUCUGAGGGCUGCAAUGAUCCUAGGCAUGUGGGAGUGUCACCUUGAGUUGUGAGAUUUUGCAGGUGUGAGCCUUGACUGCUGAAUCUCUGACCACACAGAGCCCAGGUCCUCUGUCAAUAGAAGAUAUGAUUCCAGUAGUGACCAUGAAGAAACUCCAGGUAGAUUCCAACAGUGAGACAGGACCCAAGGGAAGGGCGUUCCUGAGAGUCACUGAAGUAUAACUGCUCAGCUGGAGACAGAGCAAGGGGCUGUGAAAUCAGAAAGAUUUCACCUUCAGCAGCUAAUGGUGCAAUAAAAGAGCUGUGAUGUCUA